Molecule: transfer RNA, 88 nt
Filed under: Methanothermobacter thermautotrophicus
Lineage: Archaea; Methanobacteriati; Methanobacteriota; Methanobacteria; Methanobacteriales; Methanobacteriaceae
Also listed under: 1 other name
Description: tRNA-Ser
Rfam family: tRNA
About the family: Transfer RNA (tRNA) molecules are approximately 80 nucleotides in length. Their secondary structure includes four short double-helical elements and three loops (D, anti-codon, and T loops).
Source: RNAcentral
UGCCGGGAUAGCCUAGCCAGGUAAGGCGCAAGACUGGAAAUCUUGUGGAGCUUUGCUCCUCCUGGGUUCAAAUCCCAGUCCCGGCGUC